AGAGUUUGAUCCUGGCUCAGGAUGAACGCUAGCGGCAGGCUUAACACAUGCAAGUCGAGGGGCAGCGAGAUUGUUAGCAAUAACGAUUGUCGGCGACCGGCGCAAGGGUGCGUAACGCGUGAGCAACUUGCCCGUUUCAGGGGGAUAACCGGUGGAAACGCCGACUAAUACCCCAUAGCAUCAUAUUAAGGCAUCUUAAUAUGAUUAAAGAAUUUCGGAAACGGAUAGGCUCGCGUCACAUUAGCUAGACGGCGGGGUAACGGCCCACCGUGGCGACGAUGUCUAGGGGUUCUGAGAGGAAGGUCCCCCACACUGGAACUGAGACACGGUCCAGACUCCUACGGGAGGCAGCAGUGAGGAAUAUUGGUCAAUGGUCGAAGGACUGAACCAGCUAUGCCGCGUGAAGGUGACGGCCCUAUGGGUCUUAAACUUCUUUUGCGAGGGAGCAAUAAGGGUCACGUGUGGCCUGAUGAGAGUACCUCGCGAAUAAGCAUCGGCUAACUCCGUGCCAGCAGCCGCGGUAAUACGGGGGAUGCAAGCGUUAUCCGGAUUUAUUGGGUUUAAAGGGUGCGUAGGCGGUCUGGUAAGUCAGCGGUGAAAUUUAGGGGCUCAACCUCUACCGUGCCGUUGAUACUGUCAGGCUAGAAUGCGGAUGCCGUGGGAGGAAUGUGUGGUGUAGCGGUGAAAUGCAUAGAUAUCACACAGAACACCGAUUGCGAAGGCAUCUCACGAAUCCGCGAUUGACGCUGAUGCACGAAAGCGUGGGGAUCAAACAGGAUUAGAUACCCUGGUAGUCCACG
RNAcentral lists this ribosomal RNA (800 nucleotides) under uncultured bacterium. Its description in RNAcentral is "bacterial SSU rRNA". It matches the Rfam family "Bacterial small subunit ribosomal RNA", at positions 8 to 799 of the family's 1533-position model. The record is from RNAcentral.